CUAGGCUAGGUAGCUAGUUCCAUUUACUAUGGCUUCUAAUUCAGUGCUGUACAUAGAGAUUUGGCAAGGCAUGAUUUAGUAGCAAAUUGUUUGGCAUUGUUUCAAACAUCCCUCAUAUUACUUUUAAAGAUUCUUAUGGUGGCAAGUAAAAAAGCGAUUACUAAAUGUUGGCUUCAGAGGAACCCUCCUACCAUGAGACUCUUGAGGAACAUUGUGAAUUCCAUCAGCUUUAUGGAAAAAAAUGACUUUUAAUAUUGGAGAAAGUGGGAUUUAUACAAAGAUAAAGACUCGUAAAUAUAUCUUGUUUCAUUAGAAUGUACCAUCCAUUAUG
Molecule: long non-coding RNA, 331 nt
Organism: Labrus mixtus (cuckoo wrasse)
Lineage: Eukaryota; Metazoa; Chordata; Actinopteri; Labriformes; Labridae
Exons: 2
Source: RefSeq, a predicted model, not a curated record